Molecule: ribosomal RNA, 745 nt
Filed under: uncultured bacterium
Lineage: Bacteria
Description: bacterial SSU rRNA
Rfam family: Bacterial small subunit ribosomal RNA
Source: RNAcentral
GAGUUUGAUCCUGGCUCAGGAUGAACGCUAGCGGCAGGCCUAACACAUGCAAGUCGAGGGGUAACAGGGUAGCAAUAUCGCUGACGACCGGCGCACGGGUGAGUAACGCGUAUGCAACCUUCCUUUAACUGGGGGAUAGCCCGGAGAAAUUCGGAUUAAUACCCCAUAACAUCAUAGAAAGGCAUCUUUCAGUGAUUAAAGCUCCGGCGGUUAAAGAUGGGCAUGCGUGCCAUUAGCUAGUUGGUGAGGUAACGGCUCACCAAGGCUACGAUGGUUAGGGGGUCUGAGAGGAUGAUCCCCCACACUGGUACUGAGACACGGACCAGACUCCUACGGGAGGCAGCAGUGAGGAAUAUUGGGCAAUGGGCGCAAGCCUGACCCAGCCAUGCCGCGUGAAGGAUGAAUGCCCUAUGGGUUGUAAACUUCUUUUGUACGGGACGAAACUCCUGGUCGUGACCGGGAUUGACUGUACCGUGCGAAUAAGCAUCGGCUAACUCCGUGCCAGCAGCCGCGGUAAUACGGAGGAUGCAAGCGUUAUCCGGAUUCAUUGGGUUUAAAGGGUGCGUAGGCGGAAUAGUAAGUCAGUGGUGAAAGCCUGCGGCUUAACCGUAGAAAUGCCAUUGAUACUGUUAUUCUUGAGUAUAGUUGAGGUGGGCGGAAUGUGUAAUGCAGCGGUGAAAUGCUUAGAUAUUACACAGAACACCAAUUGCGAAGGCAGCUCACUAAGCUGUUACUGGCGCUGAGG